GACGAACGCUGGCGGCGUGCCUAAUACAUGCAAGUAGAACGCUGAAGAGAGGAUCUUGCUCUUCUUGGAUGAGUUGCGAACGGGUGAGUAACGCGUAGGUAACCUGCCUUGUAGCGGGGGAUAACUAUUGGAAACGAUAGCUAAUACCGCAUAACAAUGGAUGACACAUGUCAUUUAUUUGAAAGGGGCAAUUGCUCCACUACAAGAUGGACCUGCGUUGUAUUAGCUAGUAGGUGAGGUAAUGGCUCACCUAGGCGACGAUACAUAGCCGACCUGAGAGGGUGAUCGGCCACACUGGGACUGAGACACGGCCCAGACUCCUACGGGAGGCAGCAGUAGGGAAUCUUCGGCAAUGGGGGCAACCCUGACCGAGCAACGCCGCGUGAGUGAAGAAGGUUUUCGGAUCGUAAAGCUCUGUUGUAAGUCAAGAACGGGUGUGAGAGUGGAAAGUUCACACUGUGACGGUAGCUUACCAGAAAGGGACGGCUAACUACGUG
Molecule: ribosomal RNA, 497 nt
Filed under: uncultured bacterium
Lineage: Bacteria
Description: partial 16S ribosomal RNA
Rfam family: Bacterial small subunit ribosomal RNA
Source: RNAcentral